GACAGAGGGUGCAAACGUUGUUCGGAUUUACUGGGCGUAAAGCGCGUGUAGGCGGCUUUGCAAGUCGGAUGUGAAAGCCCACGGCUCAACUGUGGAAGUGCAUCCGAAACUGCAUGGCUGGAGUCUCGGAGAGGAAGGUGGAAUGCUUGGUGUAGAGGUGAAAUUCGUAGAUAUCAAGCAGAACACCUGCGGCGAAGGCGGCCUUCUGGACGAUGACUGACGCUGAGACGCGAAAGCGUGGGGAGCAAACAGG
This 253-nucleotide ribosomal RNA is filed under the name uncultured bacterium. RNAcentral describes it as "partial 16S ribosomal RNA". It matches the Rfam family "Bacterial small subunit ribosomal RNA", at positions 524 to 776 of the family's 1533-position model. The record is from RNAcentral.